UACGGAGGUGGCAAGCGUUGUUCGGAAUUACUGGGCGUAAAGGGCGCGUAGGCGGCAGGGCAAGUCAGGUGUGAAAGCCCCGGGCUUAACUCGGGAACUGCAUCUGAAACUGCUUUGCUUGAGUCCUGGAGGGGGUAGUGGAAUUCCCAGUGUAGCGGUGAAAUGCGUAGAUAUUGGGAGGAACACCGGUGGCGAAGGCGGCUACCUGGACAGUGACUGACGCUGAGGCGCGAAAGCUAGGGGAGCGAACGGG
This 253-nucleotide ribosomal RNA is filed under the name uncultured bacterium. RNAcentral describes it as "partial 16S ribosomal RNA". It matches the Rfam family "Bacterial small subunit ribosomal RNA", at positions 524 to 776 of the family's 1533-position model. The record is from RNAcentral.